Long non-coding RNA from Lycium barbarum (goji berry), 518 nucleotides. RefSeq lists it as uncharacterized. NCBI's taxonomy places the organism in Eukaryota, Viridiplantae, Streptophyta, Magnoliopsida, Solanales, Solanaceae. The transcript is spliced from 2 exons. The record is from RefSeq and is a predicted model, not a curated record.
AUAAGCUAGAGAGAGAGAGAGAACAUAAGCCAUGGCAUUCGACCAUGGCUAGCAAAAUAUUGAAGCUCAAAUUUGUUGAUCAAAAGUCAGAUUUUCAAAGUAUUCCAACCCUUAGGAAGGUGCAUAGCAACGUGGAGUAGUCAUUGGAGCAACAAGAACAAGUAUUAUUUCAUUUCACAAAUUCUAGUCAAGUUGAGAAGUCAAGUGUUUAAGGUUCAGGGAUGCAGUCAGACAAUCCAGCCACCUAGGAGGAGUCAGCGUUGAGAGUCAGACAGCUCCACUUGCUUCGGAGACUGUUCCUGUUUUGGUAUAAUUUUGUGUGUAUAUAUUAUGGGCACGACGGGGCCCUGUUCCGUCACUUAUGCACGGUCAUACUCUUUUAGUAGUCUGCGGAUAGCGUGGGUGUCAUGGAUACUGUUUGGCCUUACUGGCCACUGUUUUGUUGUACAGAAGCAUCAGCAGCCUCGUUGGCUUGCAUUGUGAUAUGUUACAUAUAUAUAUAUAAAUAUGUUUUGGGA